Non-coding RNA from Brassica rapa (field mustard), 204 nucleotides. The record is from RefSeq and is marked provisional. NCBI's taxonomy places the organism in Eukaryota, Viridiplantae, Streptophyta, Magnoliopsida, Brassicales, Brassicaceae.
UGAUCUCUCUUGCUUCUAAAUUUUUUUAGAUCUAGUGUUGUGAUGAUAAUACGACUUCCAAGAUCCAAACCAACAAAUUUCUAAUCGACAUCAUCAAGCAUGAGUCAUGGUGACCAUGUUGAAACUUGUUGAUUUAGUCAUGGAAGUCGGAUUAUCAUCACAACACAAGAUCAAAAAAAACUUUUAAAAAGCAAAGUGGGAUCA